This 483-nucleotide ribosomal RNA is filed under the name uncultured bacterium. RNAcentral describes it as "bacterial SSU rRNA". It matches the Rfam family "Bacterial small subunit ribosomal RNA", at positions 9 to 524 of the family's 1533-position model. The record is from RNAcentral.
GAGUUUGAUCUUGGCUCAGAAUCAACGCUGGCGGCGUGCCUAACACAUGCAAGUCGCACGAGAAAGUGGAGCAAUCCACGAGUACAGUGGCGCACGGGUGAGUAACACGUGACUAACCUACCCUCGAGUGGGGAAUAACCUAGAGAAAUCUGGGCUAAUACCGCAUAACACUUACGAGUCAAAGCAGCAAUGCGCUUGGGGAGGGGGUCGCGGCCGAUUAGCUAGUUGGCGGGGUAAUGGCCCACCAAGGCGAUGAUCGGUAUCCGGCCUGAGAGGGCGCACGGACACACUGGAACUGAAACACGGUCCAGACUCCUACGGGAGGCAGCAGUGGGGAAUUUUGCGCAAUGGGGGAAACCCUGACGCAGCAACGCCGCGUGGAGGAUGAAAUCCCUUGGGAUGUAAACUCCUUUUGAUAGGGAAGAUAAUGACGGUACCUAUAGAAGAAGCCCCGGCUAACUUCGUGCCAGCCGCCGCCGUAAU